Molecule: long non-coding RNA, 319 nt
Organism: Oncorhynchus keta (chum salmon)
Lineage: Eukaryota; Metazoa; Chordata; Actinopteri; Salmoniformes; Salmonidae
Exons: 3
Source: RefSeq, a predicted model, not a curated record
UCGAUGCUUCCAUGGUGCUGCUCACACACGGGGGAACCCAACCUCAAGGGUCAGGAUGGGAACACAGCCCUGCAUCUGGCUAUGAAGAUGGACCACAUGGAACUGAUCAAGGCUCUGAUCGUGUUUGAGCCGACGUGGAGAUACACAAUGACCUGGGAGAGACUCCCGGAUUGAUAGCAGCACGCACAAGUAAAGGCGCCAACAGAAAGGUGCUACUGGACAUGCUGUGUAGUGUAGGGGUACAGCGGUGCGCCCCACCCUCCUCCCCCCUCAACUCCCAUCCUCCCCCCAAGAAGGUUGCUUCGUCACCAGGCAUAGG